RNAcentral lists this non-coding RNA (102 nucleotides) under Amorphochlora amoebiformis. Lineage: Eukaryota; Cercozoa; Chlorarachniophyceae. The record is from RNAcentral.
GAAAGAAGAAAAGAAGUAACAAAACGCUACACACUUCUUCCAUCUGCGAUUUUUUUUUUUUUAAUUUCUCGCUCUCUCUCUCUUCCUCUCUCUUUCUCCCCA